AUGAAAACAUCAUUUACGACACACCAGGGACAUUUCCAGUUUCGGGUCUUGCCAUACGGAGUAACAGGAGGCCAGCCGACAUUUCAGGGAGCGAUGAACAUUUUGAUGCAUCCACUUCUAAGGCAAGGGGUGCUCGUAUUCAUGGAUGAUAUCCUAGUGCAUACCAAAACCAUGUCUGAACAUUUGGUAUUGCUGAGACAAGUGCUCCAGUGCCUGCAAGAACACGACUUAAGAGUCAAGCUUUCCAAAUGCGCGUUUGCGCAACAAGAAAUCAGCUACUUAGGGCACAAGAUCAGUAAGGAUGGUGUGGCAACAUUGGAUGAGCACAUCAAGGCUGUUCAGACAUGGGAGAAACCAACCACAGUCAAGCAAUUGCGC
RNAcentral lists this ribosomal RNA (378 nucleotides) under Triticum aestivum (bread wheat). Its description in RNAcentral is "partial small subunit ribosomal RNA". The record is from RNAcentral. Lineage: Eukaryota; Viridiplantae; Streptophyta; Magnoliopsida; Poales; Poaceae.